Molecule: long non-coding RNA, 210 nt
Organism: Raphanus sativus (radish)
Lineage: Eukaryota; Viridiplantae; Streptophyta; Magnoliopsida; Brassicales; Brassicaceae
Exons: 3
Source: RefSeq, a predicted model, not a curated record
CUUCAUUGCUUCUUAUAGAUCCAACGCCUGAGCUUUAUAUGUUGUAAGAUCCACCACCUAAUGACUACACCUUGUUUGUCUAUGUGUCGGUUAGGUGAAAAGAAUAGACAAGACAGAGUUGAAACUACAAAGCGAACAAGUAGGCGAAUGAUUGAAGUUAUCCCGCGGGCCGGCCCGUUAGUACCAGGACUUUAGGCGGGACGGGAUUGG